This 493-nucleotide ribosomal RNA is filed under the name uncultured bacterium. RNAcentral's name for it is "partial 16S ribosomal RNA". It matches the Rfam family "Bacterial small subunit ribosomal RNA", at positions 30 to 523 of the family's 1533-position model. The record is from RNAcentral.
AUUGAACGCUGGCGGCAUGCCUUACACAUGCAAGUCGAACGGUAACGCGGGGCAACCUGGCGACGAGUGGCGAACGGGUGAGUAAUAUAUCGGAACGUGCCCAGUAGUGGGGGAUAGCCCGGCGAAAGCCGGAUUAAUACCGCAUACGACCUACGGGUGAAAGGGGGGGAUCGCAAGACCUCUCGCUAUUGGAGCGGCCGAUAUCAGAUUAGGUAGUUGGUGGGGUAAAAGCCCACCAAGCCAACGAUCCGUAGCUGGUCGGAGAGGACGACCAGCCACACUGGGACUGAGACCCGGCCCAGAAUCCUACGGGAGGCAGCAGUAAGGAAUAUUGGUCAAUGGACGCAAGUCUGAACCAGCCAUGCCGCGUGAAGGAUUAAGGUCCUCUGGAUUGUAAACUUCUUUUAUUUGGGACGAAAAAGGGCCUUUCUAGGUCAACUGACGGUACCAGAUGGAUAAGCACCGGCUAACUCCGUGCCAGCCGCCGCGGUAA